GUCCUUUCGGUAACAUCCGAUAAACUAGGAAUAUAAUACAAAGAAGAUUAGUAUAGACCCUGUGUAAGGAUGAUGUUUUUAAUUAUUUCCUCCUAUUGAUAUUA
Molecule: small nuclear RNA, 104 nt
Filed under: Nicotiana sylvestris (wood tobacco)
Lineage: Eukaryota; Viridiplantae; Streptophyta; Magnoliopsida; Solanales; Solanaceae
Source: RNAcentral